GCCUGGCUGGCUCAGUCAGUAAAGCAUGUGACUCUUGAUCUCAGGAUCCUGAGUUCAAACCCCACGUUGGGCA
RNAcentral lists this transfer RNA (73 nucleotides) under Canis lupus familiaris (dog). It matches the Rfam family "tRNA". From Rfam's summary of the family: Transfer RNA (tRNA) molecules are approximately 80 nucleotides in length. Their secondary structure includes four short double-helical elements and three loops (D, anti-codon, and T loops). RNAcentral also lists the same sequence under 1 other name. The record is from Rfam by way of RNAcentral. Lineage: Eukaryota; Metazoa; Chordata; Mammalia; Carnivora; Canidae.